Molecule: non-coding RNA, 526 nt
Organism: Microcebus murinus (gray mouse lemur)
Lineage: Eukaryota; Metazoa; Chordata; Mammalia; Primates; Cheirogaleidae
Source: RefSeq, a predicted model, not a curated record
CUUUCUCCCGCGCGAGCGCCUGGCGGCGUUGCUCGGGGUGCGUCCUCCCGCCGCGGGGAGGCCGGGCCGCGGCAGGGUGGCGGAGGCCUCAUUUCCUGGCUCUGAGCAGCUCACGUGCACUCGUGGUGGCUGGACGUGCGUCUCCGGGUCCCCUCCUAAGGAAGUGUCAUGGCCUAAUCUGCUCAGACUUGAUUCUCAACUCCCUGCCUCUGUGACCCUGGACACGUUCUGUCACCUGCUCUGGCGGGGGGCAGUCAGGGUCAAACCAAGCAGAUUUAGUUGUGGAUGGAGAUUAUAGCAGAUGCUGCCUGGAGUCACCCUUGUUCUUUCGUCCAUGAAUGUUUUCCUGCACCCCAGCAGCUAAUGCUUGCCUCUCCCUGGAGGAAGACGCCCUCAGGUACAGCAGUUCACUCUGCCCUUGUGCUCAGAGAGCCCGAGGGGCCCGACACGCAAGGAGUGGAAGUGCCCACCCCAAGGGCAGCCCGGACUGGCUGGCGGACAGCAGUGGGGCAGGAACAUCGCAGCC